This 210-nucleotide ribosomal RNA is filed under the name uncultured bacterium. RNAcentral describes it as "partial 16S ribosomal RNA". It matches the Rfam family "Bacterial small subunit ribosomal RNA", at positions 524 to 731 of the family's 1533-position model. The record is from RNAcentral.
GACGUAGGGCGCGAGCGUUGUCCGGAUUUAUUGGGCGUAAAGAGCUCGUAGGCGGCUUGUCGCGUCGUCCGUGAAAACUUGGGGCUCAACCCCAAGCUUGCGGUCGAUACGGGCAGGCUAGAGUUCGGUAGGGGAGACUGGAAUUCCUGGUGUAGCGGUGGAAAUGACGCAGAUAUCAGGAGGAACACCCGGUGGCGAAGGCGGGCUCUG